This 332-nucleotide unclassified non-coding RNA is filed under the name Bombus terrestris (buff-tailed bumblebee). Its description in RNAcentral is "misc RNA ENSBTSG00005021443.1". Lineage: Eukaryota; Metazoa; Arthropoda; Insecta; Hymenoptera; Apidae. The record is from RNAcentral.
UAUACAAAUGGAAACAGCCAGCUAAAACGAUAAUGGAGAGGCACUUUCCCAUGCCGAAGCACCCAUGCCACUCGAAAAAGGGGCUUCGAUCGUAUAAAAUUUACCGCGCAAAAGCUCCCAGAGAUUCCAAAAGUGAUUAAACAGUCAAUUAUCCAUCACAUCGAUGCAUCUCAAUGUUCAAUGGGACAGUAUUUCGCGUCUAUAACAUGUUGAAGAUAGCUCUUUAUGGUGUAUCUCGUGGAGAAAAUUAAUUUCACGAAAUUAAUUAAACAGUCAAUUAUCUGUUGUACCGAUACGUCUUGAUAUUCAAUGGAAUAAUUUUUGAUAUUUAU